UGGGGAAUAUUGCACAAUGGGCGCAAGCCUGAUGCAGCCAUGCCGCGUGUGUGAAGAAGGCCUUUGGGUUGUAAAGCACUUUCAGCGAGGAGGAAGGGUAGUGUGUUAAUAGCACAUUGCAUUGACGUUACUCGCAGAAGAAGCACCGGCUAACUCCGUGCCAGCAGCCGCGGUAAUACGGAGGGUGCAAGCGUUAAUCGGAAUUACUGGGCGUAAAGCGCACGCAGGCGGUUUGUUAAGUCAGAUGUGAAAUCCCCGCGCUUAACGUGGGAACUGCAUUG
Molecule: ribosomal RNA, 281 nt
Filed under: uncultured bacterium
Lineage: Bacteria
Description: partial 16S ribosomal RNA
Rfam family: Bacterial small subunit ribosomal RNA
Source: RNAcentral